This 284-nucleotide unclassified non-coding RNA is filed under the name Hevea brasiliensis (rubber tree). Lineage: Eukaryota; Viridiplantae; Streptophyta; Magnoliopsida; Malpighiales; Euphorbiaceae. The record is from RNAcentral.
GAAGCCUCUUUGUUCCAAUUUGUUCUAUAGACCAUGAAGAAAAGGGCAACAGUCUGUACUACAGUCCCUGACAACAUUCCAUACCAAAUCCCACGAACACCCAUUUCAAGUUUAUAACCCAUUAUAAGACCCAGAGGAAUCCCAAACACAUAGUAACAAGCUAUGUUCACAUAAGCCACAAUUGCUUGCCAUCCUGCUCCAAUAGCCACACCAGANNNNNNAAGAACAGGCUGAAUAUUGUUAAUGACGAUGCAGAGAGCAAGGACUGGUGUUAGAUCGUUGAC